This 585-nucleotide ribosomal RNA is filed under the name uncultured bacterium. RNAcentral's name for it is "partial 16S ribosomal RNA". It matches the Rfam family "Bacterial small subunit ribosomal RNA", at positions 355 to 937 of the family's 1533-position model. The record is from RNAcentral.
UGGGGAAUAUUGCACAAUGGGCGCAAGCCUGAUGCAGCCAUGCCGCGUGUGUGAAGAAGGCCUUCGGGUUGUAAAGCACUUUCAGCGAGGAGGAAGGUGGUGAACUUAAUACGUUCAUCAAUUGACGUUACUCGCAGAAGAAGCACCGGCUAACUCCGUGCCAGCAGCCGCGGUAAUACGGAGGGUGCAAGCGUUAAUCGGAAUUACUGGGCGUAAAGCGCACGCAGGCGGUUUGUUAAGUCAGAUGUGAAAUCCCCGGGCUCAACCUGGGAACUGCAUUUGAAACUGGCAAGCUAGAGUCUCGUAGAGGGGGGUAGAAUUCCAGGUGUAGCGGUGAAGUGCGUAGAGAUCUGGAGGAAUACCGGUGGCGAAGGCGGCCCCUGNCAGACGAGCUGACGCUCAGGUGCGAAAGCGUGGGGAGCAAANCAGGAUUAGAUACCCUGGUAGUCCACGCUGUAACGAUGUCGAUUUGGAGGUUGUGCCCUUGAGGCGUGGCUUCGGAGCUAACGCGUUAAAUCGACCGCCUGGGGAGUACGGCCGCAAGGUUAAAAACUUAAAUGAAUUGACGGGGUCAUAGCUGUUUCC